Rhinopithecus bieti (black snub-nosed monkey) is the source of this 131-nucleotide small nucleolar RNA. The record is from Ensembl. Lineage: Eukaryota; Metazoa; Chordata; Mammalia; Primates; Cercopithecidae.
AAGCCAGCCAAUGAAUCUGCUUUACCUGAUUGUGUUUGUGCAGACGUACUUUAAAAACUGGCAAUAGUAAAGCCAUGUUACGAGCCUUAAGGACAUUGAAGUCGUUAAGGUCCCUGAAAGUGGCUAUAACA